This 928-nucleotide ribosomal RNA is filed under the name Salmonella enterica subsp. enterica serovar Heidelberg. RNAcentral describes it as "partial 23S ribosomal RNA". It matches the Rfam family "Bacterial large subunit ribosomal RNA", at positions 452 to 1227 of the family's 2925-position model. Lineage: Bacteria; Pseudomonadati; Pseudomonadota; Gammaproteobacteria; Enterobacterales; Enterobacteriaceae. The record is from RNAcentral.
ACCAUCCUCCAAGGCUAAAUACUCCUGACUGACCGAUAGUGAACCAGUACCGUGAGGGAAAGGCGAAAAGAACCCCGGCGAGGGGAGUGAAAAAGAACCUGAAACCGUGUACGUACAAGCAGUGGGAGCCCCACCACUAAGCCAGUGGUGAACUCCACAUACGCAUCCUUUGCUGAGGAUACGGUUAACGGAGCGAAAGCGACGUUCAACCGCAAAAGAAGCAGAGGGGGCUUAGUGGUGGGGUGACUGCGUACCUUUUGUAUAAUGGGUCAGCGACUUAUAUUCUGUAGCAAGGUUAACCGAAUAGGGGAGCCGGAGGGAAACCGAGUCUUAAUUGGGCGUUAAGUUGCAGGGUAUAGACCCGAAACCCGGUGAUCUAGCCAUGGGCAGGUUGAAGGUUGGGUAACACUAACUGGAGGACCGAACCGACUAAUGUUGAAAAAUUAGCGGAUGACCUGUGGCUGGGGGUGAAAGGCCAAUCAAACCGGGAGAUAGCUGGUUCUCCCCGAAAGCUAUUUAGGUAGCGCCUCGUGAAUUCAUCUCCGGGGGUAGAGCACUGUUUCGGCUAGGGGGCCAUCCCGGCUUACCAACCCGAUGCAAACUGCGAAUACCGGAGAAUGUUAUCACGGGAGACACACGGCGGGUGCUAACGUCCGUCGUGAAGAGGGAAACAACCCAGACCGCCAGCUAAGGUCCCAAAGUCAUGGUUAAGUGGGAAACGAUGUGGGAAGGCCCAGACAGCCAGGAUGUUGGCUUAGAAGCAGCCAUCAUUUAAAGAAAGCGUAAUAGCUCACUGGUCGAGUCGGCCUGCGCGGAAGAUGUAACGGGGCUAAACCAUGCACCGAAGCUGCGGCAGCGAACGUAUCACCCAAGACAACUUUACGGAGUUGACGAUUGACGGAGCGAAGCGACGUCAAAGCGUUCAUUA